Lepidothrix coronata (blue-crowned manakin) is the source of this 2468-nucleotide RNA transcript. It is a transcript of the gene named NFKB inhibitor epsilon, with no coding region annotated. The transcript is spliced from 7 exons. The record is from RefSeq and is a predicted model, not a curated record. Lineage: Eukaryota; Metazoa; Chordata; Aves; Passeriformes; Pipridae.
AUGUCGCGGGCGGCGGGCGGCGAGUGCCGCAAGGAAGCGGCGGCCUGGGAGGGAGAGGACGGGCAGUGCGACUCGGGCAUCGAGUCGCUGCGCUCGCUGCCGGGCGGCAAGGAGACCCCCGCCGCCCCCGAGGCCGCCCCUGAGACCCUCGCCGAGACCACCGCCGCCGCCGAGGAGCGGCUGGACUCCAGCUACGGCUCCGGCGCCCUUCCUGAGGCUCUGCCCGGGCUGCCGGGCGUUCCGGGGAGCCGUCCCGAGGAGCCGUCGCCGCCGGCCGAGGGGCUCAGCCGGCAGCAGCUGGACGCGCUCACCUACCUUUCGGAGGACGGAGACACGUUGGUUCAUCUGGCCAUUAUCCACUGUGUCCCAGCUGUAGCACUCUGCUGCAUUGCUCAGCUACCCAGGGAGGUGCUGGAGAUACAAAAUGAUCUUUUCCAGACCCCGCUCCAUCUUGCUGUGUACCUGGAGCAGCCCCGCGUGAUCCAGGCACUGAUCCACAAGGGAGUGAACCCCGGGCUGCAGGACCGCAAUGGCAACACCCCGCUGCACCUGGCCUGUGAGCAGCAGCACCUGCAGUGCGCCCAGCAGCUGCUGGAGAGCACAGCCCCACCAGAGGGCACAGCUCAGCCCCACAGGCACCACCAGGACCUGCAGCUCCAGAACUGGCAAGGCUUGGCCUGUCUCCACAUCAGCACCUUGAAGGGGAACAUCCCAAUGAUGUCUCUGCUGCUUGAAAGUGGUGCCAACAUCGAUGUUCAGGAGGGCACGAGUGGGAAGACCCCCUUGCACCUGGCUGUGGAGUGCCACAACCGCAAGGCUGUCCAGUUCCUGCUGCGCAACGGGGCGUAUGUGGAUGCCCAGAUGUAUAAUGGUUGCACCCCGCUCCACCUGGCUGUGGGCCGCAAGGAUGCUGCCAUUGCCGCCAUCCUCUCACACUCUGGGGCUGACACUCUGCUGAGGAACAUGGAGAAUGAGACAGCCCAGGACCUGGCUGAUGGCAAUGAUGAUCUCCUCGCCUUGCUGCCCUUCGAUGACCUGAAGAUCUCAGGGAAGCCUGUUGUGUGCUCUGAAUGAGCAGCUGGACUCCUUUGGCCUAUUGGGCUUACUCCUUGCUCCGUGCUGCUGCCUGCUGGAACCUUGCCUGCCUGCAGUUCCGUAGGAGCAGAGUCACUCUGGGAAACUUAUUCCCCCGCUGCUCUGCUCUUUGGAAAAGUUUUGUUGGCCUCAGGCUGCCUUCACAGACAGAAGAAACUGGCAUUUUGAGCACUACACAGGGGAGGCUUUUCUUUCAGUAUCUGUACACUGCAGCAGGACUGAAUUUCCCCUCCUGGCCGUGGGCCUGACUUGUGGGGGUCUCCAGCAUAAACAGGGAAGGAGCAGGAGAGGACUCGUUUUCACACUGUUCGGCGGAUGGAGCAUCCUCUGGCACCCCCAAACGCCAUCAGAAUAAGUGUGGGCAUCAGGAGGCUGAGCAUUACACCAAGGGCCACGGACAUGAGGGCUGCAGGGGUUUCCCCCGUCUGCCCACUCCCUCGGGUCCUUUGCACCACAGAAGGUGAGUAGGAGUGCAGGGGCUUCCCCACUUGCAGAGCCUUUCUAGUGCUCAGGGCCAAGACUGGGAGAUCCCAGCCUGGUGCUCUGUUCCCAUGCUGUGCUGUCAGGCUGCAGGGCUGAAGAAAAAUUGUAGGAAAUGCCGGAAGACCAGGUUAUGGAUCCCUGCUUCUGCUGUUGUGCCUGAUAUCUUGCUGCUUUACCAUGCUGUGGUUUCCUCUUUCGCAAAGAGGACAAAAGAUCCUGCCCAAUCUCCUGGCUUGAAAGGGUAUUAAAAACUUACGGCAUGGGUCUUCCCUGGGUUUUAGAUUCCCCCAGGCUGAAAGUGGUCGAGAUGGCAGUAUUAUCUCCGUGCAACAUCCUUUCUGUUGUUCAGCUCACCACCCUUCCUUGCCCCCCUCUCCAGCCAGAGGAGCACGUGUGAUGCACAUGCGAUGCAUUACGAAACCAGCAGCCAAAGGUGCUGUGGGAAUGGAGGCAUGGAGCCUGCCUGACCCCACCUCAGCCAGGGAAAUUCCCCUCUUGUUGCCUGGGAGCAGCUGCUGUUGUUUUGGACAAAUCCUGGAUGACGCAAUUGCCCGAGAUGCUCUGGAGUGAGCCUUUGUCUUCUUCCUCCCUUCAUGUGAGGGAAUGCUACCACAAAAGCAGCGCGGGCACCCCCCAGGCUUCUCUGGAGGGUCUGGUCUCUUCAGCAGCCCUGGGCUGGAUUGUGUUUGUUUUGAAUCUUUGCCUCUCACCUUCUGGCAGGGCCUCAACCCUGUUGCAAACCCGUGCGGCUGCUUCAAUGCCACCUUCACAGGGGACAUGAGGCACUCCUGGGUUGCCCAAAGCAGGAAUGACAGGUGCUGCAGGGCAGAGUGGGAUAGUGGGGCCAGGGCUGCAGCUGGGAGCGAAGGAAAAAGGCAGAAACAAGUGAU